This 453-nucleotide ribosomal RNA is filed under the name uncultured Porphyromonadaceae bacterium. Its description in RNAcentral is "bacterial SSU rRNA". It matches the Rfam family "Bacterial small subunit ribosomal RNA", at positions 341 to 792 of the family's 1533-position model. Lineage: Bacteria; Pseudomonadati; Bacteroidota; Bacteroidia; Bacteroidales; Porphyromonadaceae. The record is from RNAcentral.
ACGGAAGGCAGCAGUGAGGAAUAUUGGUCAAUGGGCGAGAGCCUGAACCAGCCAAGUCGCGUGAAGGAUGAAGGUUCUAUGGAUUGUAAACUUCUUUUAUUCGAGGGUAAAGUGAGAGAUGCGUCUCUUAUUGCAAGUAUCGAAUGAAUAAGCAUCGGCUAACUCCGUGCCAGCAGCCGCGGUAAUACGGAGGAUGCGAGCGUUAUCCGGAUUUAUUGGGUUUAAAGGGUGCGUAGGCGGAUAAUUAAGUCAGCGGUAAAAGCGUGUGGCUCAACCAUACCGAGCCGUUGAAACUGGUUGUCUUGAGUGUAAACGAGGUAGGCGGAAUGUGACGUGUAGCGGUGAAAUGCUUAGAUAUGUCACAGAACCCCGAUUGCGAAGGCAGCUUACCAGCAUACAACUGACGCUGAGGCACGAAAGCGUGGGUAUCAAACAGGAUUAGAUACCCUGGUA